This 468-nucleotide ribosomal RNA is filed under the name uncultured bacterium. RNAcentral's name for it is "partial 16S ribosomal RNA". It matches the Rfam family "Bacterial small subunit ribosomal RNA", at positions 28 to 507 of the family's 1533-position model. The record is from RNAcentral.
GGCGAACGCUGGCGGCGUGCUUAACACAUGCAAGUCGAACGGAAAGGCCCUGCUUUUGUGGGGUGCUCGAGUGGCGAACGGGUGAGUAACACGUGAGUAACCUGCCCUUGACUUUGGGAUAACUUCAGGAAACUGGGGCUAAUACCGGAUAGGAGCUCCUGCUGCAUGGUGGGGGUUGGAAAGUUUCGGCGGUUGGGGAUGGACUCGCGGCUUAUCAGCUUGUUGGUGGGGUAGUGGCUUACCAAGGCUUUGACGGGUAGCCGGCCUGAGAGGGUGACCGGCCACAUUGGGACUUAGAUACGGCCCAGACUCCUACGGGAGGCAGCAGUGGGGAAUAUUGCACAAUGGGCGGAAGCCUGAUGCAGCAACGCCGCGUGCGGGAUGACGGCCUUCGGGUUGUAAACCGCUUUCGCCUGUGACGAAGCGUGAGUGACGGUAAUGGGUAAAGAAGCACCGGCUAACUACGUG